RNAcentral lists this long non-coding RNA (1470 nucleotides) under Oryctolagus cuniculus (rabbit). RNAcentral's name for it is "lncRNA (ENSOCUG00000038258.1)". Lineage: Eukaryota; Metazoa; Chordata; Mammalia; Lagomorpha; Leporidae. The record is from RNAcentral.
AUGCUCACGCUGCUGUCUGCUCACAGUCACACACGCAUGCUACCUCUGUACGCCAUCACACAUUCACACUGCCUUGUGCAUACCAUCACACGCACAUGCUGUUUUCUGCACACCAUCGCUCACUUGCAUUGCCUUCUGUACACCAUCAUAUGGGCACCCAAGCCUCCGUACACUCUUCUCACUCACACUGCCUUCUGCACAGCAUCCAGACUCACGCUGCCUGUACACGCCAUUCCACACACACGCUGCCUGUACACGCCAUUCCACACACAUGCUGCCUGUGCACACCAUUCCGCACACACACUGCCUGUACACGCCAUUCCGCACACACACUGCCUGUGCACACCAUUCCACACACACGCUGCCUGUACACACCAUUCCACACACACGCUGCCUGUACACACCAUUCCACACACACGCUGCCUGUACACGCCAUUCCUCACACACGCUGCCUGUACACGCCAUUCCUCACACACGCUGCCUGUACACACCAUUCCACACACACGCUGCCUGUGCACGCCAUUCCACACACACGCUGCCUGUGCACGCCAUUCCACACACACAUGCUGCCUGUACACGCCAUUCCUCACACAUGCUGCCUGUACACGCCAUUCCUCACACACGCUGCCUGUACACGCCAUUCCACACACACGCUGCCUGUGCACGCCAUUCCACACACACGCUGCCUGUACACGCCAUUCCACACACACGCUGCCUGUACACGCCAUUCCACACACACGCUGCCUGUACACGCCAUUCCACACACACGCUGCCUGUGCACGCCAUUCCACACACACGCUGCCUGUGCACGCCAUUCCACACACACGCUGCCUGUACACGCCAUUCCACACACACGCUGCCUGUACACGCCAUUCCACACACACGCUGCCUGUGCACACCAUUCCACACACACGCUGCCUGUGCACGCCAUUCCACACACACGCUGCCUGUACACGCCAUUCCACACACACGCUGCCUGUACACGCCAUUCCACACACACGCUGCCUGUACACGCCAUUCCACACACACGCUGCCUGUGCACACCAUUCCACACACACGCUGCCUGUGCACGCCAUUCCACACUCACGCUGCCUGUACACGCCAUUCCACACACACGCUGCCUGUACACACCAUUCCUCACACACGCCUACUGUACACGCCAUCGCAUGCUCACACCCCGCUUCCUUUUGCUCCUGGUCUCUGUGUUGUUGGUUUCCACAUCAGACCCAACCUUGGGUCUGGCUACUUCCGCUGCCUCAGCAGUGCCUUUCCCCCGUGACCACGGAGCCGCCUUCUCCUGCCAGGAGCGAGCCAGUCUCUGCCUGGCUGAGCUCCUUGCGGACUUCUGACCCCCACAGCUCUCGGGGAACUUUGAAGCGUGUCCCUGCCCACGCACGCUUCCUGCCCUUGGUGGCCUCAGCACAUCUGGGUUCUUUUUCCCAAAGAUUUAUUUAUUUAUUUGAAAGGUAG